RNAcentral lists this long non-coding RNA (665 nucleotides) under Pan troglodytes (chimpanzee). RNAcentral's name for it is "long non-coding RNA NONPTRT011322". The record is from RNAcentral. Lineage: Eukaryota; Metazoa; Chordata; Mammalia; Primates; Hominidae.
CCGCCUCCGCACCUGCCUCCCCAGGGAAGUUCCUGGGCUUUGCUCCAAAGCUGCCCCGGAAUGUUUUGGUUGGUUUGGAGAAAAGCUGUAGCGUCUACACCACUUGUUCCAAGCAGGCGGCCCCCUGGUGGCUAACUGGGGGUGAGAAAGCUGGCCACUGAGGAAGAAGUCUGGCGCAGGUAGAAGAUUCUGAGGCCCUGGGCGGGAACUAGUAAGCCACAAUCUGGAAGAGUCUUUUAUCACCAUGUGGAGGAGAACUAGAGCACUCAUGUUGAACUAUUACCGAGAAAAGUAAUCAACUUCUUUUGUGUUAAGUCACUGAAAGGCAAGUGUUAAUUUGUUGCAGUAAUUGGUGCUCCCUUAACACACCUGUCAGCCAGGCCAAACUCUAUCACAGCAUAAAUAAUCUUUUCCUUAAAUAAAUACAGGUAAAAGAAUAAAAUAGACCUAAGUGCAUUAAUAUGAAUAUAGGCUCAAAGCAAAAUGUUGGGCUAUAAAUGUUCAGAGUGAUAAUUUUUUAAGUUGAUGUGUAAUUUAGUACAGUAAAAUAGAUAAAACCUAAAUGUUCAGUUCAAUGAAUUUUUACAUGUUCAUACCCCUGUAUAAUCACCUCCCAGAACAACACAGAAAAUACUUCAUAUAAAUGGAAUCAUACAGUGUGUUUU